AAAGGAAAAAUAUUUGCGAUGUCUUUUUUUUGGGGUUAUUUUUUUUGCAUGCAUGUUUGGAGUAUUCUUUUCGUUGCACGAGUCGGAGUGAGAGAGAAGGUGACGUCGUCGAGACAUGGACCCUCUCUCUCCUUCGUCAUGUGUGCAGGGUGGCUGGCUACCCAAUCGCGAGCUAGCAGCAUCCAUGGUCCAUCUCCGCGAGGACAGGGGAGGCUGCUGGCUAAGGACGCGACUGGUUUUGCAUUCUAACUUUCUCAGUACCUGUUGUGAAAGUGGUCUGUUUAACCAGUGCGCUGUUCUCUCGACGAUUCGUGGUAGCUGCCCCCUCUGAAGACUUUAUUAGGUGAGUUUGACUUGGUGUUUAAGUUGGCUCACGGAGUACCUCGUGUACUUACGUUUUAUUUAACGUAAUAUUGUGUUUGCUUGAUCUUUUGCGCUUCAGAUAUCUCGUGGGUUGUUGUGGUGUGUCCGCUAUGCAGGGCCUGGGGUCCAGGCGACGAUGCGGCACACAGCCUGAUGAUACAAACGUGUAUCUGGCGAGGGAGCUCUGUAGCUGGUCCAGGGGGCCGGGGUCCAGUGUCCCUAUGCAACAACCACACUGGCUGUCAUGGUGGGCAAAUUACCCAGCCUAAACAGCAGUGGGAUCACGGGUAAUCCAGAUCUCGAGAUAGAUUGCUUUUAUUUAAAUGUAAUGUGGUGAAAGGGGUAUAUUUGAGUGUGAUGUACAGUGGUACUCAGAUGCGUGUAUUUUUUUUUCAUUACAGGUGUCGUCGUAAGCUGAAGUCCACCCACCACCCGCACCUGACGUCUCUUUUUGUUCUUUUUUUAUAUUUGAUAUUAUUUGGCGUUUUUUUUAAGCUGUGUAUAAUUUUCCAACAUAGAAUUUUACGUAGGUUUCCAGCAUUUCUAAAUUCGUAACUUUACAAGAGUAAUACUAUAAAAAUUAUUAUAGACUCUUUUUUUCAAUUUCGUAAAAAAUCUUUUUUACAAAAAUCAUAUUUACCUACUAAGAUUAUUUAUAAAUUACAUUAAAUUUUUUAUUAUGGUUAUUAUUUCAUAUUUAGUUAGAUUUUAUAGUAUUGGUACCUAGACCUACUACCUACGUUCAAAGAAAUCAAGCUCUCGUGGUACAGCAAAUCAUAAGAUUAUAUAACUAAAGACUACGCACACUCUUGCAACUAAAUUUGCCAUAUAGCUUUCUAAUAUUUUCAUGAUAGUUUAAUUUACAUUCUUGUGUUUUUAAUUUUUUUCAGAUUUUGCGAAAAUCAAAUCCCGCCAGGCGAAUGGUGUGCCAAAUACUUUUCCAGGAUGAUCUUGAACAUGUACUCAAGAUCGUACAUGAAGGUGGCGAAGUUUUGAAAAUUCCACUGAUGGAUACAGAGACAAACAACUCAAGACCUUUGUAAUGGAACUUCAUGUCUUAAAGAAAUUGAAGGAACAUGCAAAUGUCUUGAGAUUCUUAGGGUGCCGUUCACAAGCUGGUGAACUUUUAAUAAUUACAGAAUUCGUCUCAAGGCAAUUUACUGAAUUACGUACAAAGUCAUCAGCUGGAGCAGCACCUUAUACCAUUUUACAUGACACAAAUCAUUAAUGGUAUGCAGUUCCUGCAUGAAAAUGGGUUCGUCCACUGUGACUUAGCUGCAAGGAACGUCCUCGUUGAUGGAGAAGAAGGGAAUCUUACGAUGAAGAUUUCCGAUUUUGGAUUAAUGAGGGUGUUUGAUAAUGGUCUCUCCUACACCUGGAGGAGCACCAAUACAAUGAACUUCAGAUGGAUGGCUCCAGAAACCGAGAAAACUAGAAGAUUUUCUGCAGCAUCCGACAUGAAUUAUUUGUAAUAGUAAGCGAAUCAUUUUUGCACGUUUUUCCGUUCGUUUCUCAAUUUUUUUUACUUAUUUAUUAUUUUUAUUAUUUAUUUUUUAUUUAAUUCUUUAUUCCUUGAAUUGAAUGCCGGCUCGCCGGCGGAUGCGCGAUUUUUUCUCUAGACUUUAGUAAACAAAUCCUAAAAUCAUCUCCAUUCUUUAGACCUUGGCAGCAAACCAGCAAUAGAAUUUGAAGUCUGAAAUUUUUCGAUAAAUUUUAUAGAAUGGAAUCCAAUUUAUACUUCACUUGAUUAGAAAGCAUAAAUAAAUAAAUAAAUAAAUAUAAAAGGCAAGUCUUCAUAAUUUAAAGGAAUAUUUAUCUACUAAUUUAGCAACAGAAUUACUUUAAAUGUUGUAAUUACUAAUUUUCGGAAGGAAAUAUGGUUAAGGUAUGUAUAAAUCAGCAUAAUUUUGAGAAAAUAAAAAAAAAGAAAGGGGGAAAUGGUUUUUUUUUUGUGUGUAGCAUUUGUGUUUGAAUUUUUUUUUGUUUCUUCAGUUUGCCAGAAAAAUAAAGUUUGAAGAAGAAGCGGAACCAAAAAGUCAUAAAGUACGCGAUUCAAGGUGUAAAGAAAGCAGGUUGGUCACCCAUAAUUCAUAUAGGGCUGUAUGGCACGACACUCGAGUAGCCGUUGAUGAUUUUUGUCCGUCUCCGCGUUGUAUUUUCUACAAUGCGAAUUUUUGGAGGAUGUGGGUAAAUAUAAAACUGAAUUUUGAUAUAUCUUUUCUUUAUAUCUUAUGUGCUGUUUUAGGAUGGUCUGGAGGAGGUUCUAAGAAUUGUCAACGAAGGGGUGGAGAUAUCGAAAGUUUCCAACGUAAGAAUCAACAACAAAUUCAAGAGUUACUUCAGCUAUUCGUACCUAAAUUACUUAGAGGUACGAAAAAAUAUAUUGGAGAGUCGCCCAAAUUACGAGGAGGGAAAAAAAUGGUUCCCUUCUCGUAUUUGAAUUUUUUUUUUUUCAAAAAUAUGUUAAUUUUUUUUAUGUCACUUGUUUUUUUUUUUGUUGUAAAUACACGAUUCUACAUUAUGUAGCCUGUUGUUGUUUAUUUGUCGUUAUGGUUUCAGAGAAACGUUUUUGUAGCAUGAAUCAUUGGUUGGGAGGGGGAGGGGGUAAUGAAAUUGAUCAUUU
This is a long non-coding RNA of Planococcus citri (citrus mealybug), 2986 nucleotides long. RefSeq lists it as uncharacterized. The transcript has 3 exons. NCBI's taxonomy places the organism in Eukaryota, Metazoa, Arthropoda, Insecta, Hemiptera, Pseudococcidae. The record is from RefSeq and is a predicted model, not a curated record.